GACGAACGCUGGCGGCGUGCCUAAUACAUGCAAGUCGAGCGAAUCGAUGGGAGCUUGCUCCCUGAGAUUAGCGGCGGACGGGUGAGUAACACGUGGGUAACCUGCCUGUAAGACUGGGAUAACUUCGGGAAACCGGAGCUAAUACCGGAUACUUUCUUUUCUCGCAUGAGGGAAGAUGGAAAGAUGGUUCUGCUAUCACUUACAGAUGGACCCGCGGCGCAUUAGCUAGUUGGAGAGGUAACGGCUCACCAAGGCGACGAUGCGUAGCCGACCUGAGAGGGUGAUCGGCCACACUGGGACUGAGACACGGCCCAGACUCCUACGGGAGGCAGCAGUAGGGAAUCUUCCGCAAUGGACGAAAGUCUGACGGAGCAACGCCGCGUGAGCGAAGAAGGCCUUCGGGUCGUAAAGCUCUGUUGUUAGGGAAGAACAAGUAUCGGAGUAACUGCCGGUACCUUGACGGUACCUAACCAGAAAGCCACGGCUAACUACGUGCCAGCAGCCGCGGUAA
This 511-nucleotide ribosomal RNA is filed under the name uncultured bacterium. RNAcentral's name for it is "partial 16S ribosomal RNA". It matches the Rfam family "Bacterial small subunit ribosomal RNA", at positions 28 to 523 of the family's 1533-position model. The record is from RNAcentral.